This 118-nucleotide long non-coding RNA is filed under the name Mus spicilegus (steppe mouse). Its description in RNAcentral is "lncRNA (ENSMSIG00000016458.1)". The record is from RNAcentral. Lineage: Eukaryota; Metazoa; Chordata; Mammalia; Rodentia; Muridae.
UUUUUCUUCCCAACACAGACAUCUGAGGACAAAGCACUGGGCAAUGGAGACCACACAGGUACCAACUGAAGCUGGAGUGCAAAUUUCAUCCUACAUAUCCUGUGAAAGAAUCAAUGAG